CCUACGGGUGGCAGCAGUGGGGGAUAUUGCACAAUGGGGGAAACCCUGAUGCAGCGACGUCGCGUGGGUGAAGAAGCGCCUCGGCGCGUAAAGCCCUGUCAGCAGGGAAGAAAAUGACGGUACCUGAAGAAGAAGCCCCGGCUAACUACGUGCCAGCAGCCGCGGUAAUACGUAGGGGGCAAGCGUUAUCCGGAUUUACUGGGUGUAAAGGGGGCGCAGACGGCGAUGCAAGCCAGGAGUGAAAGCCCGGGGCCCAACCCCGGGACUGCUCUUGGUACUGCGUGGCGAGAGUGCAGGAUGGGCAGGCGGAAUUCCUGGUGUAGCGGUGAAAUGCGUAGAUAUCAGGAGGAACACCGGUGGCGAAGGCGGCCUGCUGGACUGCAACUGACGUUGAGGCCCGAAAGCGUGGGGAGCAAACAGGAUUAGAUACCCCUGUAGUC
RNAcentral lists this ribosomal RNA (440 nucleotides) under uncultured bacterium. RNAcentral describes it as "partial 16S ribosomal RNA". It matches the Rfam family "Bacterial small subunit ribosomal RNA", at positions 338 to 795 of the family's 1533-position model. The record is from RNAcentral.